ACGGGUAAGUAACACGUUGGAACCUGCCCACAGUGAGGAAUAAGCCACCGAAAGGUGGUCUAAUACUUCAUAAUAUCCAUCUCGUAUGGAUUAAAGCUUUAUGCGCUUUGGGAGGGGCCUGCGUAACAUUAGCUUGUUGGUGAGGUAAAAGCUCACCAAGGCUUCGAUGUUUAACUGGUUUGAGAGGAUGACCAGUCACACUGGGACUGAGAUACGGCCCAGACUCCUACGGGAGGCAGCAGUAAGGAAUCUUCCACAAUGGGGCAACCCUGAUGGAGCAAUACCGCGUGCAGGAUGAAGCGUUUCGGCGUGUAAACUGCUUUUAUCACCGAAGAUUAUGACUGUAGGUGAAGAAUAAGGACCGGCUAACUACGUG
RNAcentral lists this ribosomal RNA (376 nucleotides) under uncultured bacterium. RNAcentral's name for it is "bacterial SSU rRNA". It matches the Rfam family "Bacterial small subunit ribosomal RNA", at positions 102 to 507 of the family's 1533-position model. The record is from RNAcentral.